AUGCUUGAAGUCUCUGGGUCUGCCAGGAGGAAGCAGCAGCUCCAAAGUGCCUCACUGGCCGACCCAGGGGAUUCCUCCAGCCCAGCAGCAGGGAGCACUGCCAGAAAGCCAGCAGGGGAAACGGCAGGGAGGGAGCAAAUUGAUCCAGCUGGGAAGGUGCAAUUCAGCCAGAAAGCACCAUUGGAGGGGCAACAUUUCUGAACUCUACAGAAGUGCAUGCAAGCAAAAACGUGAACACGGUGGUCUGAUUUUGAGCUCAGUCAUGCAGGUAUGUAACUUCACUUAGACGAACCCUUCCGCUGACUCGAUGGAGAGCAGCUAUGCUUAACUUUAAACCUAUAAUUGAGGUUGUGUGCUGGAUCGUGUGCUGGAACAUUAGGGGACAAAGGCAUGAUUUGUUGAACAGUUUUCUUAUGGCUGCAUAAAAAGCAUAUAUUUUAUAAAUAAAACCAUUUCACCGCUAAAAAGGAAAUGACUU
RNAcentral lists this long non-coding RNA (478 nucleotides) under Anas platyrhynchos platyrhynchos (common mallard). Its description in RNAcentral is "lncRNA (ENSAPLG00000022640.1)". The record is from RNAcentral. Lineage: Eukaryota; Metazoa; Chordata; Aves; Anseriformes; Anatidae.